Molecule: ribosomal RNA, 278 nt
Filed under: uncultured Parabacteroides sp.
Lineage: Bacteria; Pseudomonadati; Bacteroidota; Bacteroidia; Bacteroidales; Tannerellaceae
Description: partial 16S ribosomal RNA
Rfam family: Bacterial small subunit ribosomal RNA
Source: RNAcentral
GCAGCCGCGGUAAUACGGAGGAUGCGAGCGUUAUCCGGAUUUAUUGGGUUUAAAGGGUGCGUAGGUGGCUUUUUAAGUCAGUGGUGAAAGUUUGUGGCUCAACCAUAAAAUUGCCAUUGAAACUGGAGAGCUUGAGUGUGUUUGAGGUAGGCGGAAUGCGUGGUGUAGCGGUGAAAUGCAUAGAUAUCACGCAGAACUCCGAUUGCGAAGGCAGCUUACUAAGCCAUAACUGACACUGAAGCACGAAAGCGUGGGGAUCAAACAGGAUUAGAUACCCC